GAUGAACGCUGGCGGCGUGCCUAAUACAUGCAAGUCGAGCGAACAGACGAGGAGCUUGCUCCUCUGACGUUAGCGGCGGACGGGUGAGUAACACGUGGAUAACCGACCUAUAAGACUGGGAUAACUUCGGGAAACCGGAUCUAAUACCGGAUAAUAUAUUGAACCGCAUGGUUCAAUAGUGAAAGACGGUUUUGCUGUCACUAAUAGAUGGAUCCGCGCCGCAUUAGCUAGUUGGUAAGGUAACGGCUUACCAAGGCGACGAUGCGUAGCCGACCUGAGAGGGUGAUCGGUCACACUGGAACUGAGACACGGUCCAGACUCCUACGGGAGGCAGCAGUAGGGAAUCUUCCGCAAUGGGCGAAAGCCUGACGGAGCAACGCCGCGUGAGUGAUGAAGGUCUUCGGAUCGUAAAACUCUGUUAGUAGGGAAGAACAAAUGUGUAAGUAACUAUGCACGUCUUGACGGUACCUAAUCAGAAAGCCACGGCUAACUACGUG
This 497-nucleotide ribosomal RNA is filed under the name uncultured bacterium. RNAcentral describes it as "partial 16S ribosomal RNA". It matches the Rfam family "Bacterial small subunit ribosomal RNA", at positions 28 to 507 of the family's 1533-position model. The record is from RNAcentral.